This 468-nucleotide ribosomal RNA is filed under the name uncultured bacterium. RNAcentral's name for it is "partial 16S ribosomal RNA". It matches the Rfam family "Bacterial small subunit ribosomal RNA", at positions 28 to 507 of the family's 1533-position model. The record is from RNAcentral.
GACGAACGCUGGCGGCGUGCUUAACACAUGCAAGUCGAACGGAAAGGCCCUGCUUUUGUGGGGUGCUCGAGUGGCGAACGGGUGAGUAACACGUGAGUAACCUGCCCUUGACUUUGGGAUAACUUCAGGAAACUGGGGCUAAUACCGGAUAGGAGCUCCUGCUGCAUGGUGGGGGUUGGAAAGUUUCGGCGGUUGGGGAUGGACUCGCGGCUUAUCAGCUUGUUGGUGGGGUAGUGGCUUACCAAGGCUUUGACGGGUAGCCGGCCUGAGAGGGUGACCGGCCACAUUGGGACUGAGAUACGGAGCAGACUCCUACGGGAGGCAGUAGGCGGGAAUAUUGCACAGUGGGCGGGAGCGUGUUGCAGAAACCUCGCGUGCGGGAAGCUGGCUUUCGGGGUGUGAACCGCUUUCGCCUGUGAUGAAGCGUGAGUGACGGUAAUGGGUCAAGAAGCACCGGCUAACUACGUG